GCGGCGAAGGUUAACCGAGAGGAUAAUUGGAGCGCUUAGAAGUGAGAAUGCCGGUAUGAGUAGCGAAAGAUAGGUGAGAAUCCUAUCCGCCGAAAGACUAAGGUUUCCUGGGGCAGGCUCGUCCGCCCAGGGUAAGUCGGGACCUAAGGCAAGGCCGAGAGGCGUAGUCGAUGGAUAACAGGUAGAUAUUCCUGUACUGUGUUCAAUCGUUAAGAGCGAAGGAGGGACGCAGGAGGUGAAGCACGCAUCGCGAUGGAACGAUGUUCAAGCGACAAGUGCGGUUAAGAGUCAAAUGCUUCUAACCAGCAACACGA
Molecule: ribosomal RNA, 314 nt
Filed under: Lactobacillus helveticus
Lineage: Bacteria; Bacillati; Bacillota; Bacilli; Lactobacillales; Lactobacillaceae
Description: partial 23S ribosomal RNA
Rfam family: Bacterial large subunit ribosomal RNA
Source: RNAcentral